UACAGAGGUCCCCAAGCGUUGUUCGGAUUUACUGGGCGUAAAGGGAGCGUAGGUGGCAGGCAAAGUCUAAUGUGAAAUCUCCGAGCUUAACUCGGAAAAUGCAUUGGAUACUGGCUUGCUCGAGGAUUGGAGGGGAGACUGGAAUACUUGGUGUAGCAGUGAAAUGCGUAGAUAUCAAGUGGAACACCAGUGGCGAAGGCGAGUCUCUGGACAAUUCCUGACACUGAUGCUCGAAAGCUAGGGGAGCAAACGGGAUUAGAUACCCCAGUAGU
RNAcentral lists this ribosomal RNA (272 nucleotides) under uncultured bacterium. RNAcentral's name for it is "partial 16S ribosomal RNA". It matches the Rfam family "Bacterial small subunit ribosomal RNA", at positions 524 to 794 of the family's 1533-position model. The record is from RNAcentral.